This 204-nucleotide ribosomal RNA is filed under the name uncultured bacterium. RNAcentral describes it as "partial 16S ribosomal RNA". It matches the Rfam family "Bacterial small subunit ribosomal RNA", at positions 568 to 771 of the family's 1533-position model. The record is from RNAcentral.
CACGUAGGCGGAUUUGUUAGUCAGGGGUGAAAUCCCGGGGCUCAACCUCGGAACUGCCUUUGAUACUGCAAGUCUCGAGUCCGAUAGAGGUGGGUGGAAUUCCUAGUGUAGAGGUGAAAUUCGUAGAUAUUAGGAAGAACACCGGUGGCGAAGGCGGCCCACUGGAUCGGUACUGACGCUGAGGUGCGAAAGCGUGGGGAGAAC